This 440-nucleotide ribosomal RNA is filed under the name uncultured bacterium. RNAcentral's name for it is "partial 16S ribosomal RNA". It matches the Rfam family "Bacterial small subunit ribosomal RNA", at positions 338 to 795 of the family's 1533-position model. The record is from RNAcentral.
CCUACGGGAGGCAGCAGUGGGGAAUAUUGCACAAUGGGGGGAACCCUGAUGCAGCGACGCCGCGUGAGUGAAGAAGGAUUUCGGUAUGUAAAGCUCUAUUAGCAGGGAAGAAAAUGACGGUACCUGACUAAGAAGGCCCGGCUAACUACGUGCCAGCAGCCGCGGUAAUACGUAGGGGGCAAGCGUUAUCCGGAUUUAUUGGGUGUAAAGGGAGCGUAGACGGUAUUGUAAGUCAGAGGUGAAAGCCCAAGGCUCAACCAUGGGACUGCAUUGGAAACUGUAAAACUGGAGUGCAGGAGAGGUAGGCGGAAUUCCUGGUGUAGCGGUGAAAUGCGUAGAUAUGAGGAGGAACACCAGUGGCGAAGGCGGCUUACUGGACUGUAACUGACGUUGAGGCGCGAAGGCGUGGGGAGCAAACAGGAUUAGAUACCCGAGUAGUC